This 395-nucleotide ribosomal RNA is filed under the name uncultured bacterium. Its description in RNAcentral is "bacterial SSU rRNA". It matches the Rfam family "Bacterial small subunit ribosomal RNA", at positions 505 to 898 of the family's 1533-position model. The record is from RNAcentral.
GUGUCAGCAGCCGCGGUAAUACGGAGGGUACAAGCAUUAAUCGGAAUUACUGGGCGUAAAGGGCGCGUAGGCGGGAGAGGAAGUCAGAUUUGAAAUACCGGGGCUCAACUUCGGUGCUGGAUCUGAGACUCCUUUUCUGGAGGGUCAGCGGAGAAAAUGGAAUUCCACGUGUAGCGGUGAAAUGCGUAGAUAUGUGGAGGAACACCUGUGGCGAAAGCGGUUUUCUAGCUGAUUUCUGACGCUGAGGCGCGAAAGCAAGGGGAGCAAACAGGAUUAGAUACCCUGGUAGUCCUUGCCUUAAACGAUGUGCACUAGACGGAGUGGGAAUCAACCCCCAUUGUGUCGUAGCUAACGCGUUAAGUGCACCGCCUGGGGAGUACGCUCGCAAGGGUGAA